GCUGGGAUAGCUCAGUCAGUAGAGUGUGAGAUUCUUAAACCUAAGGUCGUGGGUUUGAGCCCCACAUUGGGCA
This is a non-coding RNA of Podarcis lilfordi (Lilford's wall lizard), 73 nucleotides long. NCBI's taxonomy places the organism in Eukaryota, Metazoa, Chordata, Lepidosauria, Squamata, Lacertidae. The record is from the annotation of a GenBank genome assembly.